UCCGUUAUCUCAAUACGGGUCAUUUUUAGCAAGUCUUAUGUAUCUCUUUUCUUCAAUGUUAAGAUUUUGAUGUUUCAAUAGAUCUUAUUUCUCAAUGUCUUGUCAGAUCAAUUUCGUUUCAUAUAAACAUGCAAUGCCCUUUUUUUCCUCGCAAAGGUCGAUCUGUGGGAGUGUCAAUGAGAUGUUCUUGCUUAUUGACAUAGCCCACGAGCAGAGUUAUGAAUGAAAAAAAUUAUUCUUGAACGAGGAAGGAUCCGUUUGUCAUUAAUUGUUGAUGUGAUGUAGAACACACGGCGAACACACGGCAGACACGUUUAUGUCAAAGUGGGACAGUCGUAAGCCCAAAUGCGGGUCUGGUCGAAGAAAAUAACUUGUUUCGAAGAAACGACCAUAAUUUUCAAACCGUACGUCGGAUUUGGAUAAAUUAUAUAUGAAAAUCGAUUAUCUCGACGAGACGGAGCCAUCCAAACCGACCCCUAAGGUUCGUCGUUUAUUCAUCUAACUAUUCAUCCCUUAUCCAACUGUUUAUAUUUUUCAAGAUGGCUAGGUUCGUCGUUGACAGCAUCCAUUUGCUCUUUGGACUUUGUGGCUCUAGGUUCGAAAAUAAGGAGCGUGUCUUGUAUUUGUCAAUUAAACUUUCUAUGUCAUCCUACUGAACUAAGGUGAGGACAUGCUUCGCAGGUUAGGAAUGCUGAAGGAAGGAUGGUAUUUAAAUUUAGUGGGGGUAUUUAGGAAAGGGGGUGGAAACAAUGAAGGUUAUUGCAUGAAGUUUAAAUUGACCAUCUUCUAAUCUACGCUCAUGAUUUCCAAUUUUCUAUGCUCUAGAACAUUCAUGGGUUACUAGCAAUAGGUCUACGUCCAUGGAAAGUAGACAUGUAGGGGUGGAAGUUGAUCGAGUAAUGAUCAAAUAGUUCUCCGUUUAUUCAUCUAACUAUUCAUCCAGUUUCAAUUUGAAAGAUCAUUCAAGAGAAAAUUUAAAAAAUAGACGUUAGUAUUCAUAUACUAAAAGGAUAAAAAAGAGGGGGGCGUCCAUAUAUUUAGUUUGUUUGCUUUUCAUUCGCUUAUCAAAUAUUUGUUUAAUGUUUAUUCCUUUAUCAUGUAUGAAGUCCCACAUCGAUGUUUUAAACCAAUGCACAUCAUCACUUUAAAGGAAUAAUUUUCAGUUAUGAUUUAAAUGGUAUUAGAUCAGAAUUCUAAUCACACAAAAGUAACUCUGUAACCAAAUAAAAAUAUCUUCUUAUUCAAGUAUUCGAUAAAAUUUGAAGAACAAAAUUUGAGUUUGGAUUCGGAUUCAAAUUUGUUUUGCGGAUACAAACAUGGACACCUCAAUGUUUGACUCAAUUGAUUGGUUUCUAGCACCAUGUGGUCUUCAUAUAACAGUGAAGUUUAAAUCUCAACAAAGCAAUUGAAUGAGUAGUAGUUAGAGAUGAGAAUUACAAUUUGAAAGAACUAAUAAGAUCUGAGGGACUUAAUAGCAAGUUCAAUGAUUUGAGGGAUUAAUUCAAAUUAGUGAAGAUCUAAGAAACCACUAUCGAAGAACUUUUUAUUUAUUUGUAGUUCUGUAACUUUUGUUUGGAAGCUUCAUUCUAAUCUUUUUUCUAAUCGAUCAUAGUACUCAUGGACAACGAACCAUGUAUAAGUCUAUGUGAUUAGUAGGUAUCAAUAUUUAUGUGAUCCAUUUUAAUUAUUCAUGUUUAAGGUUUGCAUCAGAUCGGCCUGCAUCAGUUUGUCGAAGGACGUCAAUAUAUCAGUGGGUUACUUGCAAGUUUUUGUUUCGGCAUUUGUACUCUGACACAUACAGGUAAAUCUUUUUGAGGCUCAACAUCAACAUGCAAUAAUGGUACAAGAGGAGCUGCAAAAAUUCAGUGGAGGGUGAUGGGGCUCGGAAGGAAGAUAGAAAGAAAGAAAGACGGAGAAGGUAUUUGUUCCUAAGUAAUUGGUUUCGGUUUUCCCCUGACUAAUGACCAGGCCAUGGUGAAGGAGUGACUGAACAUGCCCAUGUUCAUGGGACCUUUUCUGAGCAGCAUAUUGCCCACCAUUGGUGAAACCAAAUACUGAGGCUCCAUAACUGGAUACAACCCUGUUGGAGACCUAAAGCCUUUGGAGACCUAAAGCCUUUGGAGAAUGACUUGAAGCCCA
Long non-coding RNA from Asparagus officinalis (garden asparagus), 2139 nucleotides. RefSeq lists it as uncharacterized. The transcript has 3 exons. The record is from RefSeq and is a predicted model, not a curated record. NCBI's taxonomy places the organism in Eukaryota, Viridiplantae, Streptophyta, Magnoliopsida, Asparagales, Asparagaceae.